This is a long non-coding RNA of Phyllostomus discolor (pale spear-nosed bat), 4931 nucleotides long. RefSeq lists it as uncharacterized. The transcript is spliced from 2 exons. The record is from RefSeq and is a predicted model, not a curated record. NCBI's taxonomy places the organism in Eukaryota, Metazoa, Chordata, Mammalia, Chiroptera, Phyllostomidae.
UUGUCUGUGAUCUGAGGCCACUGGUCACCUGGUUAUUUGAAUCCCUGGAGCUUGAAUUGGGCAGCAUACAGUCCCCUGCUCCUUGAGGAAAAUUAGUCAAAUUCUGCAGAGAUAUGUUGGCUGUAGACUCUCUUCCCUUUCUUGCCAGUUUUCCUAAUAGGAUGGGGGACAUGUCUUAAAUAAAAAUUGGAAUUUUUACAGAAAUGCGUUAGUUUUAUUGCUGGUCCUUCAGUAGGUGGCACUCUUUUGCUGCCAUAAACCAGGUGGAAGUUCAGGCAUACCUUGGAGAUACUGCAGGCUUGGUUCCAGACUACCGCAAUAACGUGAAUUGGAAUCAUUUUGCUGGUGGAGGGUCUUGCCUUCAAUUUGUACAAACCAUAACAUCUGUAAAGUGCAGUAAAAUGGGGUAUGUCUGUAGUGGUGAGCAUCGAGUGUCCUGUGCUCUUAGUAGUUGUUAAUGAUCCUGAGGCUCUCUACUGCAGUGAUCUGGCCUAAUUCCCCUUAGAUUUUUGCAUUGUUUUCUCAAUUCCCUCAGCAGGAAUUAGAAUAUCCCUGUAUUCGCUGUUUACAUUAAACUCAAAGGAUUUUGCUGAUCUGAUUGAAAGUAGCAUUUUGCUUUGCCUCUUUUUUAGGGUUAUGGACAUUCACAGCUUCCACAGAUGCUCUCAGUGAGAAAUUGUAGAGUGUCUAGGAGCUUGCCCCAAGUACCAAACAAUUAAUAGUAGUCCCAUUUGCAUUUACCUUGACUUAUUAGUUGUAUUAAUUUCCUAUGACUGCUGUAACAAAUUACAGACUGGGUGGCUUAAAACAACAGCAGUUUAUUCUUCACAAUCCUGGAGGCCAGAAAUCUGAAAUCAAGGUGUCAGCAGGGCCAGACUUCCUCCUAAGGCUCUUGGGAAGGAUGCUUUUUUCCCUCCUCUAGCUUCUGGUGCUUGGCAGCCGUGCUUGCUAUUCCUUGGCAUAUAGCAGCAUAACUCCAGUCUCUGCCUCUGUGUGUGUCUGUGUUCAAAUUUCCCUCUUCCUAUAAGGACAUCAGUCAUUGGAUUAGGGCCUACCCUAAUACAGCAUUGCCUCAUUUAAUUUGAUUACAUCUGCAAAGAUCCUAUUUCACAUUCCCAGGUGUGAGGUGACAUGACCUUUUGGGAGAUACUAUUUAACCAGCUGUCAUGCAUUUUGGAUCAUCUGCUGGAUCACUGGUAAAUUGGAAUGAAAUUUUGUAACAGAUUGGUAACUGUAAGGGUGUGAAGCAUCCUUUGAGGGUGUCAGAAAAUACAGUUUAUUCCUGAGUGGUGGGCUGAUUGAAGGGCAGUUACUCUUUAGCUGUACUGAGAAGCUGGUCCAGAGAGGAGAAGCUUGACAGGUGUUACAGCUAGUGAAGCAUUUGAUGUGGCUGUGGUCCUGGCUGGAUAAGAGACUCUUUAUCAACUUGCUUUUGGGUAUAUGUGUGCCUCAAAAGUUGUCACGGGUGAAUUUCAGGGUAGGAGAGGAGAGCUAUAUGUAACUGAGGUUACUAAAUGGGAAAGUAAAAAACAUACUGGGUGCACUCGUUCUAGGGACUAUUGAGGAAGGGAGUUUUGGUUCUCACCCAGGAUUUGAGCAGCUUGGUGAAGGUAGAGGGUUUCCUUGGGUAGGGCUCUGGGGUUUUAGGAGAGAGAGACCCAGAAGGGAAAAAGGGAGAGCGUGUGUGGGGAAAUCAGUGACACUUAGCUGGUGGCAGUAUCUAGUUCCAAGCGGAUCUUGGGGAACAUUUGCUCUCAAGUAACAGCUCUUUGAAGUAAGGAGAGGACCACUUCCAGGUAGAGGAAGGUAAGUGUAUAUGGUUAAGGAUCUUUCAAGGGAACCAGUCUGAUUUAAAUUUCAAGCUUUCAAAACUGUGACUUUGAAUUGAGAUUAUCUCCCUCCCCCCAUAAACUCCCUUUGAUUGUACCAAAUAGCUUUAACCUUCUCUGUAAGUAGUACCAUAUGACUCAGGAUUGACUCUUGUUGUAGUGUGUACAGAAUGGUAAUCUGGAGGUGGCCAGUACCUUGUAUGCUUCUGGCAAUAGACCCCUGGUCCCUUUCAUUUGCAGAAAAUGAGGCAGGAGGCAGAGGUUGGCAAACAUUGCUCGACUUCGUGGGUCAACUUACUUUAGUAAGGGGCAGUGCCACAUUGACACAGAAACUCUGAGGCCUAGAGCCUAAUGUCUUCAUCAGCAAGAUUACGCCCUAUACCUGCCCUGCCCCUCCACACUAUGCCCAGCAUGGAGGAGUCAAUGUUAAGUAAAUAUUUGCCGAAUAAAAUUGAAGGCAACAGUAGUAUCUUUUCCAAGAAGCUUACAAUGCUUCUCCACUUUCAUUUUGCCUAUCCCUCUUUGAGUCUACAGAAGGUCAUUUCAUUAAGUACUUGUAGCUAUUUUUGUUAUUGCUGUUCUGUAUUGGCUCCUCUAAGGCAUUCCCUGGACAGUGUGCCCUGGCAGUGUGCUGUGUCGUAGACACCAUUGUGCAUACCCAUUCUAGUCACAACUCUCAAGUACAUGUGUUCCCUUUGUUCCAGCCACUUCUGCCUGGACGUACUGUUCAGAAGGAUGAUUGGAAAAUGCUCUUUGGGGAGUACAAUUAGCAAAACAAAAAAAGCAGUGGUUACUAUUUCCGUCUGUCUGGGCCUUGUUUGUACUUCUUCUGCCAGAUCAAUGUGAUGACUCAUUAAUAGAUCUAUUUAGUUUAAUCAAUUUGUUUAUUUUACAUUAUUGACAAGGUAGCUGUAUUGCCAGGUUAGAAAUUGACAUCUGACUGAAGUAAAGAAGAAAAAGGGACUUUAUUUUUAUAGCCACUGUAGCGUCAUGUGAUUUUUUUAAAAAAAUUAUUUUAAGAGGAGUUUGAAAGCAUUUUCAAGCCCAAAUAAACCCUUGGAAAUUUGCUAUUAAAUAACAACAUUUUAGAGUAAGGAGAGACAGAUAGAGGUCAUUUUCAUCUUGUUCUUUUUGGUUCUUUCUCAUAGGGAAACUAUGAUACAGACCGAGACAAUUUCCUUUUCUCCUAAGCUGUGCGUCCAGUCCAGGCUUCAUUCAGGCCUCCGAAGCGUGUUGCUUUGGAAGUUGCCAGGGUCCUUUACUGGCACCACACUAAAGGUGCCUUCCCCCUACCAGGUUUAAUUCUUCCCUAAGUAGGUUAUUUUCCCUGAAACACCAUUGCUUUCCUGUCAGUCCAGAUUCAUGACCUUAAUCAAAAACUUCCUUUAUCGGUAUCUGUUUAAAUCGCUCUAACGAGUCACCAUUUGUCUGCCAUGACAGAGAAAUUGAGUCUUUAAACAGGAGUGAGUGCAUUCCACAGCAAUUGUUAGGCAUGAUAGGAUGUUUAUUAAAGUCCAUAGUUUAUUCUUCUGCAUCUUUGUGCUGCUCACCUUGGCCACUAGUGGUUGAGUCUGCCCCUCCCUGUGUGUUGUCACUGUCGUUUCUAAUCUUGGCGUGUUUGCCCUGCUGUUCUCCUGCAAUGUGGAAAAAAUUGCCAGCAGCUGGGAAACCUCUGAUUCUUCUAUAAAGCUAACCUUUCUUCUUUAAAAUGACUCAAGAGUAAGGGCCUCUUUCAGGUAGAGAGGAAAGCUUCAGUGAAAACUCUAAAUAAUGUUUUGGGUUCUUUAGUAGGUUUUAGAAGGGGAGUUCCUAAGGAGGUAAAUGGGAAUGCCACCCAGCCUUGGCAAGUUCUUAAUGAAACUAAUGAUUUUAAUAGACUGACCUUAUUACUCCCCUUAAUUUAUAUCCUCAUUACAAGAGUGUCUGUUCAAUGUUUGCUACAUUUUUAUCAGCCUUGGGAGGCUAAACCUCCUCUUCAGUUUCUGCUGCAGCCACAACAGUUGUCUCCUUUUUAUCUGAAAAGAGUGGCCCCAUAGGUCCAGGGAUAAAAAUGAGGAGAGGUUGUGAUAGUCUGGAAAACUUUAUCUUAAAUCAUGUCAGGCUAAGAAUUGGCUUCAGAAUACCACAUAAAAUAAAAGAGAAAUAAGGAUUAUCUGUUUAUCCAUUACACUUCUUGAUCUUACAAAGAAAUGUCUAGUAGGGUGGUAUUUUAGUUCCCAUCAGCCUCACUCUCAGGACCUGGACAGGUCAGCUGUACAUUAGGUGACACCUGGGCAAGAGGAAUGGAGGUGAAAGAUCUUUGUACCAGAGUCUGGUGUUGGAAUUUUGCAUCAGUGUUGUUAUUGAUUUGCCUGAUGAAUAUUCCACCCAAAUGUGGUUCUUUCUGUUACUUUGGUCCAAAAAUGUUAUGAGGACAAAGAAAACAAACGAUCUCUCUCUCUGAGAUUUGUGGGUGGCAGAAACCCUCCAUGCUCAGGAAUGAUAUUCAUAACUUUGAUAGAUGCCCAUUAAUGGGUCUGCAAGCAAACCUAAUAUCCUGGCAAGUUGCUAGAGCUGGGCCAAGUGCACGUUCUUCUUUGAGGACACAGGGUUUUCCUAACCUUUUCAUAGAUAGACCUAUGAGUCCCCAGAUAGCUGAUGAGAGGAAUAAUGAUUGAUUUAACAUUGUAGCUUCUGGUUAGUCAGGACCCUGGAUCCCUUGGCUGCCCUGAAGGAAACUGCCCACAUUCCUGGCACCACCUCUUUCUGCACUAAGCAGUACCAGUUGAAGGCAUGGAAACAACUGAGUGAAGAGAACCUGCACCUUUGGAAGGCGUGGUUCUCUGGCACGUGGGCACUCUUUCAGAGCGUAUCUCGCCCCUCCUGGUGGGAGAUAAGACUAAGUCCAUGCUUCCUCUUCAGCCAUUCAGGAGGUGUUUUCCCUCAGAUCGGCUGUCCUCUGAACAUUUCUCUGGAAAGGAACCACACUCUUCCCAAGGCUUGGAAUGGUACUUUUUCAAUAGCUUUGUAAUUUUUACCCUAAUUUUCAAACGAAUAUAUUCUUAUUUCUCCCAUAGAAAAGCAGAAAAGUGUGAAACAAAAUAAAUAUCACUUCACUUCUCA